This 142-nucleotide ribosomal RNA is filed under the name uncultured bacterium. RNAcentral describes it as "partial 16S ribosomal RNA". It matches the Rfam family "Bacterial small subunit ribosomal RNA", at positions 378 to 509 of the family's 1533-position model. The record is from RNAcentral.
CAAGCCUGAACGAGCAAUGCCGCGUGAACGAGGAAGGUCUUCGGAUCGUAAAGUUCUGUUGAGAGGGAAAAAAGGGGUCAACCAGAGGAAAUGCUGGUGAAGUGAUAUUACCUUUCGAGGAAGUCACGGCUAACUACGUGCC